Long non-coding RNA from Thalassophryne amazonica, 316 nucleotides. RefSeq lists it as uncharacterized. The record is from RefSeq and is a predicted model, not a curated record. The transcript is spliced from 3 exons. NCBI's taxonomy places the organism in Eukaryota, Metazoa, Chordata, Actinopteri, Batrachoidiformes, Batrachoididae.
AACCUAUGAAAUGAUUCAGUCUUUUUUUCUGGUUUUCAACUUUAGUUGAGGCAACAAGAAGAUCUGAAAGCUGAAGGAUCAUCUUGUCCAGCUCAUUACCAAAAGAUAAUGAACCGUCUCAUCAAGAGAUACAUCUUAAAAGCACAGAGAGAUAAUGACCAUCAUGACGUUAAUGAAGGUGAACUGAGCAUGAUCAAACAGGACAUCUCCAUGCUCCGCCGCCAAGUCCUGCAGAGAGGAAACCCUGAUGUGGAGACUCUGUCGGAGCUUGUCAGGAAGCUAGGACAAGUCAGCAGCAGAAAGUGAGAACAGAAAA